Molecule: non-coding RNA, 31 nt
Filed under: Homo sapiens (human)
Lineage: Eukaryota; Metazoa; Chordata; Mammalia; Primates; Hominidae
Source: RNAcentral
UGCUUAAUAGGCAGUGCCUCAUUUGGUGAGA